This is a long non-coding RNA of Dama dama (fallow deer), 870 nucleotides long. RefSeq lists it as uncharacterized. The transcript has 2 exons. NCBI's taxonomy places the organism in Eukaryota, Metazoa, Chordata, Mammalia, Artiodactyla, Cervidae. The record is from RefSeq and is a predicted model, not a curated record.
GGCGCCGUGUCUCUUAGCAGGUGCUGGGCCGCCGUGGUGAAGAUUGGCGGCCGCGUUGGCCUGUAGCUGCUUCCCGCCCGAGCGGCCGCUCGCCGGUCGCAGAGGAGGCGCGGUCGUAGUGGCUGGUAUCCCGGGAGCUACGGGGGCAAGUGGAAUUCGCUCGGCCCGCGGCGGCCGGGGGCUCGCGGGCUUCGGCGCCACGGGGCUGCGCUGGUUCUGUAGGUCCCCAGUCUUUUCGCCCCUGCUGGUGCUGUAGAUCACUCAUGUUUACGGCAAGUAUUUACUGAGUCCCUGCUGUGUGCCUAUUCCAGUGUCAGGGGCGAGGUGGUCACGGGCAGGCAGGGUCCCUGCCUCGAGGAACUUCUCACCUGCGGAGGAGAGAGAGAGAAAUUUUCUGGAACAGUUUGAGCAGUUGGCCAACUCUUGGCUCAAAGAGGAAAUAAUAAAAAUGGCAGUGAUGGGAAUUCCCUGGUGGUCCAAUGGUUGGGGAACUGAGAUUCCACACACCGCACAGCCAAAAAUAGAAUAUGAAAACUGCAAUGACUAUUUUGAAAUCAUCAAUAAAGACAUUACUUUAUACAGAAAUUAUGAAAUACAACCAAAGCUGCACGUAGAGGAAAUUGUUGUUCGGUCAUUAAAUCGUGUCCAACUCUUUGUGACUCCAUGGACUGUAGCACGCCAGGCUUCCCUGUCCAGGCACCCCUGUCCUUCACUGUCUCCUAGAGCUUGCUCAAAUUCAUGUCGGUGAUGCCAUCAAACUGUCUCAUCCUCUGCUGGCCCCAUUCUCUUAGAAAAAUAUUUACGGCCUCAAAUGCUUUUAUCAUCAAAUAACAAAGGCAAUAAAAUACAUUGAUGUUCAUUGAAAGUUUA